GACGAACGCUGGCGGCGUGCUUAACACAUGCAAGUCGAACGGUGAAGCCCUUCGGGGUGGAUCAGUGGCUAACGGGUGAGUAACACGUGAGCAACCUGCCCCUGUCUCUGGGACAACCACUGGAAACGGUGGCUAAUACCGGAUACGACCCGCCUCGGCAUCGAGUGUGGGUGGAAAGUUUUUCGGCUGGGGAUGGGCUCGCGGCCUAUCAGCUUGUUGGUGAGGUGAAGGCUCACCAAGGCGACGACGGGUAGCCGGCCUGAGAGGGCGACCGGCCACACUGGGACUGAGAAACGGCCCAGAAUCCUACGGGAGGCAGCAGUGGGGAAUAUUGCACAAUGGGCGAAAGCCUGAUGCAGCGACGCCGCGUGAGGGAUGACGGCCUUCGGGUUGUAAACCUCUUUCAGCUCCGAAGAGGCGAAAGUGACGGUAGGAGCAGAAGAAGCACCGGCUAACUACGUG
This 462-nucleotide ribosomal RNA is filed under the name uncultured bacterium. RNAcentral's name for it is "partial 16S ribosomal RNA". It matches the Rfam family "Bacterial small subunit ribosomal RNA", at positions 28 to 507 of the family's 1533-position model. The record is from RNAcentral.